GACGAACGCUGGCGGCGCACAUAAGACAUGCAAGUCGAACGGACUUAACUUCAUUCUUUACGAUUGAAGAGCGGUUAGUGGCGGACUGGUGAGUAACACGUAAGCAACCUGCCUAUCAGAGGGGAAUAACAGCGAGAAAUCGUUGCUAAUACCGCAUAAGCUGAUAGUAUCGCAUGAUACAGUCAGAAAAGGAGCAAUCCGCUGAUAGAUGGGCUUGCGUCUGAUUAGCUAGUUGGUGGGGUAACGGCCUACCAAGGCGACGAUCAGUAGCCGAGCUGAGAGGCUCAACGGCCACAUUGGGACUGAGAUACGGCCCAGACUCCUACGGGAGGCAGCAGUCGGGAAUAUUGGGCAAUGGGGGAAACCCUGACCCAGCAACGCCGCGUGGAGGAAGAAGGUUUCGGAUUGUAAACUAUUGUCGAUAGGGAAGAAAAAAGACUAGUACCUAUCAAGAAAGCUCCGGCUAACUACGUGCCAGCAG
RNAcentral lists this ribosomal RNA (481 nucleotides) under uncultured bacterium. Its description in RNAcentral is "bacterial SSU rRNA". It matches the Rfam family "Bacterial small subunit ribosomal RNA", at positions 28 to 514 of the family's 1533-position model. The record is from RNAcentral.